RNAcentral lists this long non-coding RNA (373 nucleotides) under Ananas comosus (pineapple). Its description in RNAcentral is "long non-coding RNA (ACOM_LNC039599)". Lineage: Eukaryota; Viridiplantae; Streptophyta; Magnoliopsida; Poales; Bromeliaceae. The record is from RNAcentral.
UAUAUAUUUAUAUAUAUAUAUAUAUAUAUAUAUAUAUAUAUAUAUAUAUAUAUAUAUAUAGUGUAAAUGCACAUGAGUGAACCAUUUGCAUAUAAUAAUAUUUUCUAAGAUAAGAUUAAAAUAAAUUUCGAAAUGUAAAAUUUAAAGAACUUAACAGUUUGACGACGAGAAUGAUACCACUGUAAGGGUUUAGGAAUAAUGCUCGAGCAAUGCAAUUGGUGAAUUAUUUGUUGUAUUUCUAAAAGAGCAAAUGCGCGACUUAUAAAUGUGAAAAGUUACAUUAGUGAUGAAUUAUUUAUCGUGUAUAAAAAUGAAUGUACGAAAAAAUAAUAAUAAUAAAUGUCUAUGGAUGUUAGUGUUUGUUAUAUAUAUG